This 89-nucleotide transfer RNA is filed under the name Kribbella kalugense. RNAcentral's name for it is "Kribbella sp. VKM Ac-2570 tRNA-Ser". It matches the Rfam family "tRNA". From Rfam's summary of the family: Transfer RNA (tRNA) molecules are approximately 80 nucleotides in length. Their secondary structure includes four short double-helical elements and three loops (D, anti-codon, and T loops). Further hydrogen bonds mediate the characteristic L-shaped molecular structure. tRNAs have two regions of fundamental functional importance: the anti-codon, which is responsible for specific mRNA codon recognition, and the 3' end, to which the tRNAs corresponding amino acid is attached (by aminoacyl-tRNA synthetases). tRNAs cope with the degeneracy of the genetic code in two manners: having more than one tRNA (with a specific anti-codon) for a particular amino acid; and 'wobble' base-pairing, i.e. permitting non-standard base-pairing at the 3rd anti-codon position. The record is from RNAcentral. Lineage: Bacteria; Bacillati; Actinomycetota; Actinomycetes; Propionibacteriales; Kribbellaceae.
GGUGAGGUCCGCCUGUUGGUAAGGGCUGCGGUUUGCUAAACCGUUGGUCGGUUUUGGCCGGCUCGCGAGUUCGAAUCUCGCUCUCACCG